This 365-nucleotide ribosomal RNA is filed under the name uncultured bacterium. RNAcentral describes it as "partial 16S ribosomal RNA". It matches the Rfam family "Bacterial small subunit ribosomal RNA", at positions 338 to 700 of the family's 1533-position model. The record is from RNAcentral.
CCUACGGGUGGCAGCAGUGAGGAAUAUUGGUCAAUGGGCGCAAGCCUGAACCAGCCAAGUAGCGUGAAGGAUGAAGGCCCUACGGGUUGUAAACUUCUUUUAUAAAGGAAUAAAGUGAGGCACGUGAGCCUUUUUGUAUGUACUUUAUGAAUAAGGAUCGGCUAACUCCGUGCCAGCAGCCGCGGUAAUACGGAGGAUCCGAGCGUUAUCCGGAUUAAUUGGGUUUAAAGGGAGCGUAGAUGGGUUUUUAAGUCAGAUGUGAAAGUUUGCGGCUCAACCCUAAAAUUGCAAUUGAUACUGGCAGCCUUGAGUACAGUUGAGGUAGGCGGAAUUCGUGUUGUAGCGGUGACCUGCUUAGCUCUCAC